CCUGAUUCAGCCAUGCCGCGUGUAUGAAGAAGGCCUUCGGGUUGUAAAGUACUUUCAGUCGUGAGGAAGGCGGCGUCGUUAAUAGCGGCGUUGUUUGACGUUAGCGACAGAAGAAGCACCGGCUAACUCCGUGCCAGCAGCCGCGGUAAUACGGAGGGUGCGAGCGUUAAUCGGAAUUACUGGGCGUAAAGCGCAUGCAGGUGGUUUGUUAAGUCAGAUGUGAAAGCCCGGGGCUCAACCUCGGAAUAGCAUUUGAAACUGGCAGACUAGAGUACUGUAGAGGGGGGUAGAAUUUCAGGUGUAGCGGUGAAAUGCGUAGAGAUCUGAAGGAAUACCGGUGGCGAAGGCGGCCCCCUGGACAGAUACUGACACUCAGAUGCGAAAGCGUGGGGAGCAAACAGGAUUAGAUACCCUGGUAGUCCACGCCGUAAACGAUGUCUACUUGGAGGUUGUGGCCUUGAGCCGUGGCUUUCGGAGCUAACGCGUUAAGUAGACCGCCUGGGGAGUACGGUCGCAAGAUUAAAACUCAAAUGAAUUGACGGGGGCCCGCACAAGCGGUGGAGCAUGUGGUUUAAUUCGAUGCAACGCGAAGAACCUUACCUACUCUUGACAUCCAGAGAACUUUCCAGAGAUGGAUUGGUGCCUUCGGGAACUCUGAGACAGGUGCUGCAUGGCUGUCGUCAGCUCGUGUUGUGAAAUGUUGGGUUAAGUCCCGCAACGAGCGCAACCCUUAUCCUUGUUUGCCAGCGAGUAAUGUCGGGAACUCCAGGGAGACUGCCGGUGAUAAACCGGAGGAAGGUGGGGACGACGUCAAGUCAUCAUGGCCCUUACGAGUAGGGCUACACACGUGCUACAAUGGCGCAUACAGAGGGCGGCCAACUUGCGAAAGUGAGCGAAUCCCAAAAAGUGCGUCGUAGUCCGGAUUGGAGUCUGCAACUCGACUCCAUGAAGUCGGAAUCGCUAGUAAUCGUGGAUCAGAAUGCCACGGUGAAUACGUUCCCGGGCCUUGUACACACCGCCCGUCACACCAUGGGAGUGGGCUGCAAAAGAAGUAGGUAGUUUAACCUUCGGGGGGACGCUUACCACUUUGUGGUU
This 1095-nucleotide ribosomal RNA is filed under the name Vibrio harveyi. RNAcentral describes it as "bacterial SSU rRNA". It matches the Rfam family "Bacterial small subunit ribosomal RNA", at positions 382 to 1469 of the family's 1533-position model. Lineage: Bacteria; Pseudomonadati; Pseudomonadota; Gammaproteobacteria; Vibrionales; Vibrionaceae. The record is from RNAcentral.